GUUGGAAACAUUUAUUGUUAUAUACUAUGAUACCAUAUUUAUCAGUAUGUAUUGUAGUCUGUCAGGGUCUUCACUUUAAACAUGGAUCCUCAUUGUUGGUAUAUAGAGGUCUAGGCUCAAUUUCUAAGGUCACCACUCCUUGGAAGUUACUUUUCACUUAGAAACUUCACAAUCAUUAUUGUUACCAUUUUUUUCCUUGCAGUGUUGAGAUGAAAACGAAUUGACUGCUGGGCGUGGUGGCACAUGCCUAUAAUCUCAGUGGCUCUGGAGACUGAGGCAGGAGGAUCGAGAGUUCAAAGCCAGCCUCAGCAACAUAGCAAGGCACUUUGAAACUCAGUGAGACCCUGUCUCUAAAUGAAAUACAAAACUGGGGGGCAUGUGGCUCAGUGGUUGAGUGCCCCUGAGUUCAGUCCCUAGUACCCAAAACAAACAAAAAAACCAGUUGAUUGAUUCAGAGCUGUCCCCUUUUCAUAAAUGUCUUAUGGGGUACUGUGCCCUGGCUGCUUAAUUAGCUGGAUUAGAACUUACUCGAUGGAUCUAGGCUGACUCACAUGGGUCCUGUCAUUCCUGAUGGUUCAUGUGUAGAAUAUGCAUGAUGGUCCCAAGAACUUUUUCUGUUCUUUGAUAAAACAAGUUAUUAAUCUUUUAAGGUACUUUAAAGAUUAGUGAUUGGGGGGCUGGGGAUAUAGCUCAGGUGGUAAAGUGCUUACCCUGCAUGCAUAAGGCCCUGGGUUCAAUCCCCAGCACCACCAAAAAAAAAAAAAAAAAAAAUUAGUGAUUGGGGGGACUGGGGAUGUGGCUUAGUGGUUCAGCACCCCUGGGUUCAGUCCCUGUUUUUUUGUUUUUUUUUUAAUAGUGAUUAGCAAUAAAUCCUAUCUAGAAUCAAUCUCAUUGACAUAGUAGGGGCGAUAAUUUAGAAAAAGCAGGUUUCUCCAUGCUACUGACUCAUCAUGGUUAACUGUUUAUCCAACCACUGCAUAGUUUUACAUUUAAGAGACCAAAAGACAUGGAAGAAGCCUAUGCUGCUCACCCUGCAAGAGUCAGAACAUUGUUGGGAUAACAGAUUGUAUUAGUUGUUCCUACACUAUUUCCAUCUGGGACACUCUGUACUUGAGCACUCAAAUAUUGACUGACACAGAUUUAUGAUCAAGAUCUAACUUCUGGGGCUAGGAAUGUAGCUCAGUGGCAGAAUGUCUGCUAGUAUGCAAGGCCCUGGGUUUCAUGCCCAGCAUUGAAAACAAAACAAAAACAAAAACAAACUUCUGAAAAAAAACAGCUAACCUUGUAUUUAUUCAUUGGCUAAGUAUUUAAGCAGUUUCCUUCUGAGUGUGGGGAUAAUAAGCCCAGGGAAUUAAGCUUAAUUCCCAUAUGAUUUAGGAGGAAACAGCCGGCCUCUGCCUGCAGUGUUCAAGCAUAAUGGCAAUUUGAGCAUAUUUGCUGCUUCCAAGAAUCAUGUGGCAAUCAGUUAUUUAUGUUGCUGGGUAACACCCGCAAGGCACGCUCAGAGUGUGAAUCAAGCUCAGGCCUAGCAAUUCAUAAUACAAUACAGGAUUGGUCCCCACAGAGCCAGCCUGGGUUGCAUUUGAAAAUCACACCCUUGGUUCUAAUUCCUUACAAUUGCUUUGUUUUAAUUUUACAAAGUACUUUCACAAGAUCUUAUUUUAGCUGGGUGCCAAAGUAGGUACCUGUAAUCCCAGAGACCCAGAGACAGAGGCAGGAGGAUGGCAAGUUUGAGGCCAGCUUGGGCAAUUUGGCAAACCUUGUUCUCAAAAUAAAAAAUAAAAAGGGCUGGGGAUGUAGCUCAGUGGUAGGGCACCCCUAGGUUGAAUCCCCAGUACUAGGAGGAAAAAAAGAUCUUGUUUUAUGAUAAUCUCUAAGGAACACAUUCAAACCAUUGUCUAGAAAGGAGCUGACAUUUACCAUAUGUCUACAGAUCCAUAUGCUGUGCUUAGAUUUAUUCUUUAAAUUAGACUGCUCAGAUAUAGGAGAGGGUAAAGAUCAAAGUUCAUUACUUGCCAGGGAAUCUAAAUUAUAAUAAACAGAUAAGCUACUCAAGGAGAAAGAAAUUUUGUCAGUCUAUGACACUUCUCAGGAUGAUCAACUGUGUCAUUUCCCAAGAAUUUCCCAGUUAGAUAGUACCGAACAGCAGAGCAAACUAAUUUCAUAGCAAGUAUUUUUAUUAAUAUUGUUCUGCUAGAUUCCAGUAAAAAAAUAUUUAAAGAAACUAUUUACUAAGCCCUCCAUAGAAUUAUAUUAAAUGCUAACCAUCUUGUGGCUUAGAAAUUCAGUUUCUCCUUGAAAUACAAUGAAUACAUUCUAACCUUUAAUUGCAAAGAAUCUUAUUUUUGUAAUUUAAUUAACUAAUUUUGAGGUACCGGGGAUUGAAUCCAAAGUUAUAAUUAGCCACUGAGCUACACCUCUGCAGGCUUUUAUUUUAAUUUAAUUUUAUUUUUUGGUACUGGGCAUUGAACCCAGGAGUGCUUGACCACUGAGCUACAUACAUCCCCUAUUUUGAGACAGAGUCUUGCUAAAUUACUGAGAGCCUCACUAAGUUGCUGAGGCUAGUUUUGAACUUGUUAUCCUCCUGCCUCAGCCUGCCUAGUUGCUGGGGCUACAGGCUGGCUCCAACCCUUCAAAAAAAAAAAAAAUUAGUUUUUUAUUUUUGGUACUAGGGAUUGAACUCAGGGGCAUUUAACCACUGAGCCACAUAUCCAGCCAUUUUUCGUAUUUUAUUUAAAGACAGGGUCUCAUUGAGUUGCUUAGGGCCUUGCUAAAUUGCUGAGGCUGACUUUGAACUCAUGAUCCUCCUGCCUCAGCCUCCUGAGCCGCUGGGAUCACAGCACCUGGCUUUUUUUUUUUUUACCCCUCUUUUGCAUUUUUUUUUUAAACAUUUUUAGUUGUAGACAGACUCAGUGCCUUUAUUUUAUUUAUUUUUAUGUGGUGCUGAGGAUCAAACCCAGUGCCUCACAUGUGCUAGGCAAGUGCUUUACCACUGAGCUAUAGUCCUAGCCCUUUAGUUUGUUUAUGAGACAAUUCUUGCCCAGUUGCUAAGGCUGGCCUUGAAUUUUGAUCCUCCCACCUCAGCCUCUUGAGUUGCUGGGAUGAUAGAUGUAUAUCACUGCACGCAGCUAUAAUUUUAUUUAUUUAAAUUUUUUUUAUUUCAUAAUUUUAUUGAGGAGCUUAGAAGUUGAAUUUUUGAGGUGGAGUUUUCUUAUUUAGUGCCUAAGUCCAGGCCUCCCAACCCUUUUCACAUUCUGGCACAUCUAUAAAAUGAUAGUGUAUAUGCAUUUAUAUGGCUGGAAGUGACCAGUCCAGUAACUGGAUUCCCUGAGGGCAGCAAUUCCUAGUACUUUGGAUAGAAAGUUUUAUUUUAACUACCUUCCAGCUGUAUACUCUGCUGCAAACUUGUGAUAAAAGCUGCAUUGAGAUAGGUCUUGCUAAGUUGCUGAGGCUGGCCUCGAACCUGCAAUCCUUCCGCCUCAGCCUCCCAAGUUGCUGGGAUUACAGAUAUGCACCACACUUUGCUGCCAGCAGUUAAUAAAUGGGAUGACAUCAAAUUUAAAAGCUUUGGCACAACAAAGGCAACAAUUAGGAAUGUGAAGAGAGAACCUACAGAAUUGGAGAGUAUCUUUACUAGCUACUCUUCUAAAAGAGGAUCAAUAUCUAGAAUUUAUAAAGAACUCAAAAAAUACCAAGACUGCCAAAUAACCCAAUUAAUAAAUGGGCAAAUGAGUUAAACAGACACUUCUCAAAAGAAGGAAUACAAAUGGCCGACAAACAUAUGAAAAAUGUUUAACAUUCAUUAGCAAAUAGGGAAAUUCAAAUCAAAACUACACUGAGGUUUUAUCUCAUACCACUUAGAAUGGUAGUCAUCAAGAAUAUAAUAAUAAAUGCUGAAGAGGAUGUGGAGAAAAAGGAACACUUACAUUGUAGAUAGGAUUGUAAAUUAGUACAACCACUAUGGAAAUCAGUUAUGGUUUUUUUUUGGUUCCUCAAAAGACUAGGUAUAGAAUCACCAUAUGACCCAUCUAUAACACAACUUGGUAUUUAUCCUAAAGAAUUAAAGUUAGCAUAUUAUAGUGAUUAUACAAAGCGCAUAAUUAUAAUUAUAGCAGUACAAUUCAUAAUAGCCAAACUACAGAAGCAGUCUAGGUGUUCAUCAGUGGAUGAAUAGAUAAAGAAAAUGUGUUAUAAAUACACAAUGGAGUUUUUUUUUUUUUUUUUGGUGCAAGCAACUGAGCUAUAUCCCCAGCACCACAAUGGAGUAAUAAAGAAAAUGAAAUGAUGUCAUUUGUAGUAAAAUGAAUGGAACUUGAGAUUGUUUAGCAAAAUAAGUCAAACUCAGAAAGUUAAAGGUUGUAUGUUUUUUCUCAUGUGGAAGCUAGAGAAUAAAAAGGAAAAUAAAGGUGGGAGGGUGGGGGUCUCAUGAAAAUCAAAGGGAGAUCAGUAGAGGAAAGGGAUCAGGGAGUAGGAGGUUGGAAGUGAUACUGGCUAAAUUACAUUUUUAUAUUGUGUGUAUGUACAGAUAUGUAAGA
RNAcentral lists this long non-coding RNA (4535 nucleotides) under Marmota monax (woodchuck). Lineage: Eukaryota; Metazoa; Chordata; Mammalia; Rodentia; Sciuridae. The record is from RNAcentral.